Molecule: ribosomal RNA, 451 nt
Filed under: uncultured organism
Description: partial 16S ribosomal RNA
Rfam family: Bacterial small subunit ribosomal RNA
Source: RNAcentral
ACGUACACUCCUGCGGGAGGCAGCAGUGGGGAAUAUUGGACAAUGGGCGCAAGCCUGAUCCAGCCAUGCCGCGUGAGUGAUGAAGGCCCUAGGGUUGUAAAGCUCUUUCACCGGUGAAGAUAAUGACGGUAACCGGAGAAGAAGCCCCGGCUAACUUCGUGCCAGCAGCCGCGGUAAUACGAAGGGGGCUAGCGUUGUUCGGAUUUACUGGGCGUAAAGCGCACGUAGGCGGACUAUUAAGUCAGGGGUGAAAUCCCGGGGCUCAACCCCGGAACUGCCUUUGAUACUGGUAGUCUUGAGUUCGAGAGAGGUGAGUGGAAUUCCGAGUGGAGAGGUGAAAUUCGUAGAUAUUCGGAGGAACACCAGUGGCGAAGGCGGCUCACUGGCUCGAUACUGACGCUGAGGUGCGAAAGCGUGGGGAGCAAACAGGAUUAGAUACCCUAGUAGUCCC